Olea europaea var. sylvestris is the source of this 651-nucleotide long non-coding RNA. RefSeq lists it as uncharacterized. The record is from RefSeq and is a predicted model, not a curated record. The transcript has 2 exons. Lineage: Eukaryota; Viridiplantae; Streptophyta; Magnoliopsida; Lamiales; Oleaceae.
UUAAUUGGGCUGCCCGUCAAAUCAGAACACUAUUUGGUUUUUAGUUUCUAAUUGGAGCUACAUAUCUCCAUUUUAGGUGUUGUUGGCUUGUUAGAAAGUUAAGGCUACCUAAAACUUUUAUGAAGAUAUCAAAACCCAGUUCUGCCGUUUAAAAGAUCAAAUCCUAUCAAAAGCAGAGAACUCCAAAUCUGUCCAGAAUUCACUACUGCCUGACUCAGCUUCUGUUUUUGGCCUGUAUCUGGAGUUCUAAAAGUCGAAAUAAAGCAAGCCCAGGUGCGUUGGAAAGCUGAGGACGAGAUCUAAAACUUUUGUGAGGUUGUGUCAUCAAAAUCUAGUUGGAAGCUAGGUAAUAAAAUCCGCCAAGAAUCCCGCAAUUUAAGAGCUGGAAAGAGGGAAGGAGAUUUGAUUAAGGGGAGAAAAGGAAUUGACGAAGGAUAUUGAAGGAAGAACUCCAACUUCUAGAGUUCUUUUUCUCUCUCAAUUUCUUUAAUUGUAGAAUGUUGAUUUGGAAUAAUUGGAUAAUUUUAUUAGUCAUAAUUUGCUAAGUUCCAUAUUCUAGGGUUAAGAUGCAGUCAUUGAAUUCUUUAUAUGAUUUGAUCAUGGUUGUAUUGACUAUUCUUGUUAAUUGCAAUUUGAUGAUUUUGGUGUUCA